GCCAUAAUCAUUUAAGGUUGCUGGAACAGCCAAAGCUGCAGCUGCUUGUAUCCUAAUCUUAAAAUUGGAGGAAUCACGGAGGAGCAGCAAAAGAAUGCUAAAAACUGAUGAUGCCCAGACCAUGUUUUCCAGCUUCAACGUUGGAUUGGAAAACAAGUUGCUAAGUGAAUAGCAAACAUUCCACUGUACCUUAACGUUUCCAGUUGUAACACAAGAAAUAAAUGCUUGCACCAUCUUCUCGAGCCAUUUAGAACUUUCCAAGUAAGCGUUACAUGAACUUCGACUUUCUCCCAGAUCCUCGCUAAUGGACAAACCUUUUGUGGGCUUUCCCCUAGAAGAUACGACCAUUGAAUCUGCUUGCCUGUCAUAAGCAAAUGAUUGACUUGAAAACCUAACAACUCUUGAAAGGUUACCCAAUGCUCUCACAGCAUUUGCUUUAACCUUGUCAUUAUCGUUCGUAAGUUGUAAAGCACAGUCAAUCAGCAAGGAAAUCGACUGUGAGCUCACUGAAGAGAAUUUCUCAAAUCCAUGUACAUCAACAUGGUGGCGAAGUG
RNAcentral lists this unclassified non-coding RNA (554 nucleotides) under Hevea brasiliensis (rubber tree). Lineage: Eukaryota; Viridiplantae; Streptophyta; Magnoliopsida; Malpighiales; Euphorbiaceae. The record is from RNAcentral.